RNAcentral lists this RNase P RNA (395 nucleotides) under Acidobacteriota bacterium. RNAcentral's name for it is "Acidobacteria bacterium RNase P RNA component class A". It matches the Rfam family "Bacterial RNase P class A". Rfam says of the family: Ribonuclease P (RNase P) is a ubiquitous endoribonuclease, found in archaea, bacteria and eukarya as well as chloroplasts and mitochondria. Its best characterised activity is the generation of mature 5'-ends of tRNAs by cleaving the 5'-leader elements of precursor-tRNAs. Cellular RNase Ps are ribonucleoproteins. The record is from RNAcentral. Lineage: Bacteria; Pseudomonadati; Acidobacteriota.
CAGCCGGACCGGACGGUCGCUCUCGCCGCAUUCCGCGGCGCGGGAGGAAAGUCCGAACUCCGUAGAGCAGUGUGCCGGAUAACGUCCGGGAGACUGGCUUCAAGGUCAGUCGACGGAAAGUGCCACAGAAAACAUACCGCCUUCGUUCUUCGGAACUGGGGUAAGGGUGAAAAGGUGCGGUAAGAGCGCACCGCCGCGGCAGCAAUGCAGCGGGCAGGGCAAACCCCACACGGAGCAAGACCAAAUAGGGAGGGAUCUCGGGUUCGCCCGAGGACGUGCCGGCUCGGCGCGUCAAACCUCCGGGUAGGUCGCUAGAGCCGCGCAGCAAUGCGCGACCCAGAGGAAUGACCGUCCUGGCGGAGCAAUCCGUCAGACAGAAUUCGAUUGGCUGGCGA